CAAAAAAGAGUGAGAGAGUAAAACAGAUCGAGGCAGCAGCGGCUGUACCAAAUCGGAGUGGUCUACCAGUGCAUCACCAUAGCUCCAUUGAUGGCUAGGUCUCAUUGGCGCCGUGACACGCGCUCGGGCCGUGAUUCAUGCGCCAUCCAGCAGCGAGGCUGCAUCUCAGUCGAUCCCCACCAGGACCAGGCUCCCCUCCACAUGCACCACCUCUUCCGAUUAGCUGUCGGCCGAUGUCGCUUCUAGCCGUCACGAAUCUAACCCCAAGGCCCAAGCUAUCCCGCUCUACUUCUCCCAUCACGUUCUUCGCGGUGUCCAGGGUGCAGAUCCUCGCCGACCUCGUGAGUCCGGCGGGCAAUUGAGGGAGAAAUAGGAGUUGCUGCCUUCCUCACUGUAGGUGCUGGCAUGCCUCUGCCAAUGUCUUAUAGUCUUGUUUUCCUUCAAAAGCGGCGAUAUCAUAAAGAAGUCUCAUGCAUUACCUGAUUUGUCUACCUUCCGCACCUCAUUCUAGUGAGAGGCAACUCAAAAGGGUGGUUGUCCGUCAAGAAUCGAGAUGUCUAGCAUGUUGCAGUUUUCACCGAUUCUGCUGUGUCGUAGAAUCAGUAGACUUCGAUUGGUCAAGGAGAAGAUUGGGCUGGCUUCGAUUUUGGGAUGUGUCCGGCUGGGUGUAUUUUUGUCUUUUUAUGUAUGCAUGUCAUGGCAGAGUAUGUGUGUGCUGGUUGUGUCCGGCUGGUCUUUUUAUGCGUGCUUGAGCUGGCCAAAUACUUUUGGAGUAUUUUUUGUUGAGUCCAUGUUGAGUCCAUGCUCAACACGUCUGGACUUCUUUUGGUUGCGUUGGAGAUUUGGAAGCGGGUGCACGUUGAGUCCAUGCUCAACACGUCUAGAGUUCUUUUGCUUGAUCUGGAUGCAGGUGACGUUUUAUAUAUGGUUAAUUGUGUCUUGGUGUCUUAUUUCUUUGUGGUUCUCCCGGAGGUCUUUUGAUGAAAAGAUAUAUG
This is a long non-coding RNA of Triticum aestivum (bread wheat), 995 nucleotides long. RefSeq lists it as uncharacterized. The record is from RefSeq and is a predicted model, not a curated record. Lineage: Eukaryota; Viridiplantae; Streptophyta; Magnoliopsida; Poales; Poaceae. The transcript is spliced from 3 exons.